AUACUUGUAUUUAUCACCCCAUUGAUAUGUAAUUUCUACUGAAUGCUCUCAGAAAUAUAAGAUUUGGUUGUCAAUUGCACUGUGGGUGUGCUGAUCCCUUCAAUUUCCCCAAAUGUGGGAAACCCAAUUGCAUAAUUUGUGGUAGCGAGGGACUGCAUACAUGCUCUCUCAUG
Neogale vison (American mink) is the source of this 173-nucleotide small nuclear RNA. Its record names the gene U1. It matches the Rfam family "U1 spliceosomal RNA". Rfam says of the family: U1 is a small nuclear RNA (snRNA) component of the spliceosome (involved in pre-mRNA splicing). Its 5' end forms complementary base pairs with the 5' splice junction, thus defining the 5' donor site of an intron. The record is from Ensembl. NCBI's taxonomy places the organism in Eukaryota, Metazoa, Chordata, Mammalia, Carnivora, Mustelidae.